UACGUAGGGUGCAAGCGUUGUCCGGAAUUAUUGGGCGUAAAGAGCUCGUAGGCGGUUUGUUGCGUCGGCUGUGAAAUCCCGAGGCUCAACCUCGGGUCUGCAGUCGAUACGAGCAAACUAGAGUGUUGCAGGGGAGACUGGAAUUCCUGGUGUAGCGGUGAAAUGCGCAGAUAUCAGGGGGAACACCGGUGGCGAAGGCGGGUCUCUGGGCAACAACUGACGCUGAGGAGCGAAAGCGUGGGGAGCGAAUAGG
Molecule: ribosomal RNA, 253 nt
Filed under: uncultured bacterium
Lineage: Bacteria
Description: partial 16S ribosomal RNA
Rfam family: Bacterial small subunit ribosomal RNA
Source: RNAcentral